Molecule: long non-coding RNA, 8800 nt
Filed under: Xyrichtys novacula (pearly razorfish)
Lineage: Eukaryota; Metazoa; Chordata; Actinopteri; Labriformes; Labridae
Source: RNAcentral
AGCCUGGAAGUGUGGGGGAAAAUAACAGAUAUGUUUGGAUGUUUUGGGGGUUACCAUGAGGCAAGAAAACAGGAUAUGGGUGGAGUGGUCAGAUUGGGAUAAACUUCAUAUCAGGUCAUGGUGACCCUCUCUCAUGGUAGCUUAAUUGCAAUAACAGGAAAUCUGGCUCCAAAAGAUAGUGGCAGAGAAAGUCACGAAGGGGACUUUCGCACGCACAUUUGGCUAAAACUAAGGUCCCUGACGUCAAUGGAGGACUAUAAAAGAUAUGUGGAUGGGCUGUUUUUUGGUUCUGUCUGUUCGAUUGCUCAUGAGCUAUUGUUCGAUGCUGUGAUCGGAAUAAAAACCCUGCCGAGAGGCUGCCAGCUUGAUUCUGUCUUCGUGUAGUUCAUUUCUGCACUUUUACACCGAGGUCAUCUUCUGAAUAAUUGGCAAGCUUCAGCCCAGAUUUUGCCGAGGCCCGGGGCGUUGGCCUCCCCACGCGAGUGAAAUCCACGUGCCGGCACACAAAAGGUAGGAGUAGUUUAUUUCUCUAUUAGAUGUGUGAUUUCACUGUGUGGUGAGACCAUCUUGUGUUUGGGCCUUCGCAAAAGAAAGAGUCUAGAAUCAAAGGAAGCAGAGUCGGGCGGAGUCUCUCGCGUGUUAUUCAUGUAUACAUGAAGGCUGCUCCAAAGUGUGUGGAAAAUUGUGAGACAGACAAAUUAACCAUUGGCGUCAAAGCAGCUGAAAAUCUUGGCCAAGUGUCUGUUGACUUGUGUCUUACGGGGAUAGUAGGAGUAAAGCGAACAGGCCUCGAGCUUAAUACUUACGGGGGCAGAGAAGUAUCGCUAACAGAUCCCGAGAACAGUGAUCAGCAGAGCAGAUCUGUGUUGUGGGUGAACAAGAUGCCGGGAAGUCAAAUCCUAGGGGCAUGGAGUUCACGGAGCGCGAUUGGAUAAUUGGCCGGCAGCCAAGCCCUGGCAGUUGUGUAAAAGUUUAACCCGAUGAGGUUGGACAGACCUCAGAGAUACUGCUCUGCGGAGCCCGGGGAAGUCUGAAAAGGCGAGGAACCUGGACAGACCACCCCAUGUUAAGUGCUGCAAUCUGGGGCGGACCUUUUACUGAGCUCGAAAGGCAGAAACCCUGCAGGUUGCAGACUUAUCUAAUAUAAAUAACGUGGAGAAAUCCACUAGGAAUUAUGGAACAGAUUUAGAUGUGAUUGACUGGACUGUAAACGAAAGUUCAAUCACACUUGCUGGGAAAUCCCGCUACAUGUCAGGUCUGUCGCUAAGUAUGGGCACAUUUUAACGUAUACCCACAAAAACUUAUAGAUGAAACGAACGCAUUUCUCAUAAUAAAUGACGGGAAAUAAAGAAAACAAACAAAACUGUAAUCUGAGAACGGAAAUCAAUCAAACGGAACAUUGGACAUUGGAGGUAUUGAAAAUUUAUAAGGUAGGAGUUGUUUGAUCCACAAUUUCCUUCCAAAUUGACACCACGAAAGGCACGGAUGAUCAACGUGUUAUCCUUAUGAGUCAGCCAACUAAAUAGAAUACCUUCAAAAAAUCACCAAAAAAGACUAAAUAAAAGUAUAUUUGACGAAUAAAAUAUAAACACCCCAAAAGUGUGCGUGAGGACCGGUCCGUGUGAGAGUGAUCGCUUUUUUCCUUUCUCUCCCUCUCCUCGCACUCCGCCGAGGGUGUGUGUGUGUGAGGGUGUGUGUGUGUUGUGUGUGUGCAUGGUGCAAACUAAUAUGUAAAUAAUGGUAAAUGUUUAACAAGGUGGUUACAGGAAUCCUAUAAGCAAGCUAAGAUUAACUGUGUUGUCACGGCUCUGUAUAUGGUGCCUAAAGUUGGGAGAAUUGUGACACAAAACAGACUGUUGGUGGGGUUGGACUUUUUGGAUUGUGUGCGUAAGGUUGUUGGUGAAGCAGAGUUUGGUGUUGGUACAGUAGUCUGAGAAAGGUUGAGCAAAGACGCAGUUAGAGUGUGUAAGCUGAAGCAGUUGUGUGUUGUGUAGUAGGGUGUGGCAGAGAGACAGAAACAGGAGAAGUUGACAGUCCGAGAGUCAGACUGAGACUGAGAGAAGUAGGAAGUAAAAGGGGAAGUGAGGUCAAUUCCGCUCUCACUCAGCCCUGAACGAGCCCCCACCUUUGCGUGAGCCAAAAUAAAGCUCCCUCUCUCCCCCGCUACUACUCUCAUUCAGUGAGAAGCCCCCCCCCACACAUUUUUUGGGAUCCAAGACAUACAGCCCUCACUCGGUGAGGAGCCCCCACCUUUGUGAGAGCUCCCCCGCCCUUCUCUCCCCUAAAAGUCUGAAGACCUGGCGAACCUGUUUUUUUCUUCUUCCUUUCCCUCGGCAAGCUGAAUAUUAAAGCUAUCAUAUCUGCAGUACAAAUAUAUAAACAUUGUGUGCAUUUUAAAACACUCAUAGCAUUAUUUUACAAAUAUAAACAUUGGGUAAACCUGUGACAUAAUUUAGCCAGAAUUCGUUUCGGGGGACAAGGGACCAUGGUUCUGCGAACUUCACAUGGGAUAAGGACACUCUGUGGCCACAAAAAGAAAAAGGUAGGAGAUUUCCUAAAAUUUGGUUGAGAGUUCUUUUCCCUGUGAGGUGGUGCGGACUACUGCUCUCUGUCCUCUUCGAAUCAGUUGGUUGUGUCAGACCGCCUCACGCUGCUACAUGCGUGAGACUAUGUGAGAAGCUAUAGGCUGGGUGCAGGAAAGCACUGGCCAGUAGCGUGGGGAGACAGCCGGGCCCGGGUUGUGAUGUGUUUUUUAGGCUGAAUGCCUGGUGAUAAAAGAUUCUGGUUAAUUUUUGGGAUAACAAGGGGAGUGGCAGGCACGAGUGUGUCUGUCCAUUGUUGAACUGUGAGUAUGGGCAAUUUUUUGUUUUAUGAGCUCUGACAGAUACAGAUUGGCUUGAUGAGCAGGAGAUAGAAAAAGAGGUCAAUAAGGGUAGGCCGAAAAGCCUAUUCAGGGAUCCCAAUUGAACAAGCACGUCCCAUAUCUCCUGACCGAUUGUAGAAGAAUCACAUAAAUUGGAAAAAUCACACAAAUUGGAAAAAUUGAAGAAAUCAAAACAAGAAUUAAAAUAGAAGACUGCUGACUGACUCCAGUGACUGACUUUGACUUCAAACACGUGUGAAAGGGUAUACCAUUGUGUGAUGAAUAAGUGAAGUGUGUGGGUUGAUUGGAUGGUUGUGUGUGUCUGUUUUGUUCUGUGUCAACUAAGUUCUCUGGCAGAACUGUUCACAGUCAGACUCUGCACCUGUGUGUGUGUUAUGUUAGUCAAAGAUUGCUGUGUUCCACACUUGUGUUUAUUUCAUAGUUGUUUAUGUGAAUACUGUGCUCAUUGCGGUCAUGUUAUCAGUUGAGACAUAGAAGGUUAAAUACUCCUGGGAAAGAGGUUCUGUUCCCAGUACCAUGAUGAACACUCCUGAUAUAAAGGUUUUAGCUUAUGCUUAAAUAUUAUGAUGGUUUUUUGUUGUGAACACGUCUUAUGCUACUUAACAAAUUUUCUGUGUUAAAGCUGCUGAAAUAAUGUUUGUAAAAGCAUAAAAGAUACAAAAAGGGAAAAAGCAAUGAGGUACCACAAGUGCAAAACUUCUAAAAAACUUCAAAUCUAAGAGUUGCUUCUAUACAUCUGCUGUUUUUGCCAGAACACUGUGUUUUUAAAAUAUUAUUGAAGCUGUUAAUAUCAAUACUGACUAUUGCUAUAGAACUGCAGUUGAGGCAAAAGCUUUAUACUGUGUAUUUUUGGGGAAUUUUACAAAACUGCUGAUCAAGUUUUAAUGUGUGUGCUCAGUUGAAUAAUAAAGUUUACAAAAAGCACGACCAGAAAGGGAAGAUUAGAUACACGUUGGUAGGGUGUAAAUAUACUGAACACUUAAAUGAUAUCCAAAAACUUACAAAGAAAUGGGAACAUUGAAUCAAGGGGUUUGAAUCUUUAUGACCUAGGGGAGGCACAUCUAAUGUGGCUGUGUGUGAGGAUUUGGAGCAGCGAAUCUAAGACCAUAAACAUAAAGAAAAGUAAAACACGCAAAAACAAGAAGAUAUGGAACUAAAAGGACCGGACAUGUUUAACUCAGCACUUAGAUUUUGGUCCUUUUUAUACUUUAGAGUCCAAUUUUAGAUUUUAAGUCAUACUGGGACCUUUUUGAACCUGAUUUUAACGUUCUUCUUGUGUAUUUGCUCUUUAAAUGCAUUACUUUUCUCUUUGUAAAUCAUGCUCUGAUCUUCUGAACUAUUAAAUAAGAAUAGAAUAAAAACUAAAUUUUUUCUAUCUUAGGUUGCCUUUAAAAUUAUUUAUUUAUUAUUAUUAUUAGUUUAUCUCUUUUGAAUUUCCAAAUGAUUUAAAAUCAUUGCUAUUUUUUCUCCCAUAUGUUUUGAAAAGGAAAUUGACAGUUUUAGUGAAAUUUUGAUCCUGUUUGACCCUGAGGCUAGACUUAAAUCCAGAUUAUGCCCUUUGCUGUGGUUGAGUUUGACACCCCUGGCCUAGAUUAUGUUCACUUGGAAAUGCACUGAUAGUAUGUUUUCAAUCUUAAUAAAUGGCACACAGGCUAGCUAUGUGCUGUGGAAAACCACACACCUUGUUGGGCUGGUUGCCAGACUACCACAAACUGAACAAGGGGCAGGGAGAUGGAUACGAGUUUUUGAGGAUGAACUGUAGGAAAAUGUUGACUACACCAGACAUGAAAGCACUCUUGGCUAAACUGCUGGGAACUAAGACGAUGGAGGAGUUUCUGCGCAAGGCAAAACAAGGUUGAAUGACGAAUCCCAUGACUGAUGGGAGUGAGUUCAAUGCAUAUUGUGAUGUGAGGUGGAGCGGAAGUUGAAACAGCCACCUCUAAGGGGACACGGCAAAAGAGACCCAGCGAUGCAGACCGUGCAGACGCUAACUGCGGUAAAACCUGUGACAGUAACCUGUUUAAUCACCUGUUGUGAAUGUUUAUCCUCAGACAGAACCCUGCUCCAUAGAGAGGAUAUAUCCCGGCAGGGGGAGAGAGUGGAAUUCUGACGGACGUGUGACGUCUAAAGACCUGCUGGGGAUGGGAUCAUACCAGACAUUUUUGACAACUGCCCAGACCAGGGACGUCUCUGGCUGGAUCGGUGGUGGGGGGCCCCAGCCCAGACAAUGUGAAAGUGGUGGCUUACUACAGUGUGAUUUUUGUGGAUGAUGGAAAAAGUUAGUUGUUAGUUUUAAUUUUAACCCUGUUGACCUUAUAGACCGAAAGGACCUAUGUAGAAGUAACAUUCAAAUUUGGUGCUCACCGCGAGGUGUGUAAGUAGACAGUUAUGGUUUAUAGUUUUAAGUAAAUAUCGUGACAUUAGCAUUGUAACAUCCCUGUUCUGUUAGUUUAAUACUGAUAAAUCUAAAUGCAGCUGUGCUGAAUCCACAUACACUCCUCACAGAUGUGCCACCUAAUGUAAAAGUAAUAGGAAGCUAUCAGGGGUCAAUAAGGCCACAGAAAAUGGUUUAGAGUCAAAUAACUAGUUUUUGUACCAGUAGUAUUAACAAACAAACUAGGAUCUGACUUUCACAGUGAUUCACACUGUGAAAGGGGGGAGAUGAUGAGACAAUUAAAACGACAUUCUUAGAAUAUGCUGACGAGAGCUGAUAAACUCUUGGGUCAUUGUGAUAUGCGUUUUGUUAGAUGAAUUGAAGAGAACAAUAAAACGGAAGUGAGACACUUUUCCAGUUCCAGAGAGACGGUUUUAGACAUCUAUUUAUAGGCAAUGUGGACAUGAUUAAAACUGCCAAGGCAUAUGUUACAUGUUUGUAAUGAUGACGGGGUCAGUCGAUGGAUAGAAGCAACACCAUCAAAAGAUCUUGGAGUCAAAAUAAAUCUGUCAUUGCAUGAUUUGGUACAUCAUUUUGGGGAAGAAAGUUAAUCUCUCAAGUAAAUAUCUGAUCAGAGAAGUUGCACUAACACUAACCUAUAGGAAGAUGCUUUGCUACUUGCGCUUAUGAGCUUUCACAAUCAAAAGCACUGAGAUAAAUCUUCCACUGCAUGAUUGACUAACUUACAAAGCUAUGCUUUACUGCGGCUAAAUAAUUAAGGUUUUCGCUUGAGCAGCUGGAAAUUAGUGAAUUAAAUAGAUGAGGCAUCUAACUACGAUGCAAAGAUCUAUCGGUUAGCAGGAGGAGUGCCAAAAUCUGAUCCCAGUCAAGAGGUGGAGGCCAGUCGAGCCAGAGCACCAGGUGUACAUCACCGUCCUUUGAGGAGGGUGGCAAAAAGAACGAGGAGAAGACCUGAGCACUUUGGUCCUGGUGAACUCUACUUCAGUGCAGGAAGUGGCACGAACCACGACGGGAAGGACCGUACACGGUGGUGCGAGCUACUCCCACAGCAGUCCUGGUCGAAAGGAGCGGGACGUGGUAUCACCUGUCACGCUGCACGAAGGUUCCAGGCAAAACCAAGGGCGGUAUUGAGUUGAAAAACAAAGAUGAAAAACAUGACAUUGUGGUGUGUGCUGGUGGUAAUGAACUCUCUUCUAUGGAUGCCUGUAGAAGCAGUGGAGCUAGAGACUCAAAGGGGAAAACAGAGCACCCCGGGGACCAGAGCCACGCCAGAGACCAACCCGCACGACAGAGGAGACAGAGCAUCUGAAUCAGAUGAGUAUGAUGCAACCACACAGACACCAAUCCAUGACGUGCUAAACUCUGAGCCAGCACUCUCAGCUGAGCUCAAACACAUAAACAUUCCAUACCAAAACAUAACUGUUAACUGUAAAAUUACGUGGGUAUUGUCAUGGUUUCCUGAAGCUAAUAUGAGCGAACCGUUCUUAACCAGACCUGUUUGGUUUGAAAAUCCAGAGCAAACAUUAGAUCAAACAUGUGAAAACAUAACUAUGACCAGACCGAGUAUGCAUUUCUUUCGCAAGUCAAACUGUUGCAGUAGCUGGCAGUUACUGGAUGUGUGGAGACAACAUUGCGCGUAACACACUUCCACCAAAAUGGAUUGGACUCUGUACAUUAGUGCGAAUGAAAGUGUCAGUUGUUGUGUGUAUGACGGCGGCGAGGAGAUCCUUAAAAUCCAGGAAGAAACAGCCAAAUUGAGCCGCCAUAAAAGGCAGAUUGACGAAAAGGUGUACAUCAAUAGUAUAGGAGUGCCAAUAGGAAUUCCAGAGGAGUUUAAAGCUCAGGAUGAGAUUAGAGUAGGUCUAGAGUCGAUUCUCCCUUGGAUCACCACUAAUAAAAAUGUCCAAUGGAUAAAUUACAUUUAUUACAACCAACAGAGGUUUGUUAAUGCGACAUCUGAGAUCCUGAGCGCUCUCGGUAUUCAAUUACACGCAGCAAGUAUAAUGGCCCAACAAAAUAGACAGGUUUUGAAUUGGCUGACAGCGGAUAGGGGAGGAGUAUGUCACAUGUUCGGGAAACAUUGUUGUACCUUUAUUCCAAAUAACACAGCCCCUGAUGGUAUAUUUUCUGUGGCAAUGGGGAAGCUUACAGAACUCAGAGUUGAGCUCAGGGAGAGUGCGGGCAAGGGGGGACUGUCAUGGGAUUGGUUAGACCAAAUUUUAGGAAAAUGGGGAGCCGUUUGGGCUAAGAUAGGACUCAGUGCAUUAGCAGUCCUAAUUCUAAUUUCCUUUUUGACAUGUUGCAUCAUCCCCAUCCUGAGGAGGCAGUGUCUGCGGGCUCUGGACAGACAGAUGAUUGUGGCGACUGGUCUCCAAAAAGCUCAAAUGUUGGACUUGCUGACGCCGUCCCAAAUGGCACAACUCUGCUUGGACGACAGCAAGGCGGGAAACGGGGACUAUACGGACUUGUACCCGAACCCUGCCUGUGUGGGUGACUAUGAUGAGGACGAACUGAGUCAAGUGUAAGGUAAACAAGAAGCAGAGGUGCAGCAGCAGCGAGCGAGCAAAAGGAAAAGCAAAUGGGACGGCGGAGCAAAUGGACUAUCAUAUCACUACACGCAUAUUCUGUUACUAUCCAGGUGUAUUCUGCAUAAUGGACUAUCAUACCAAUACACACAUAUCCUGCAGUUAUCCAUGUGUACUCUGCAUACUCACAUCAUUUACACAUACCCAUUCCAGGUAAAUGGAAACAGGUAAAGGAAAUGGUUAAUCAUUUUUUGAGCAAUAAAACAUGUGGUUGAUUGUCAUGUAGAGUGGGUCAGUGAAAAGCUGUUAAGAUUUAGAAGGUUCACGGUAAAGGUCGCCAGCGGGAGGGGCCGCAGGGGAAUUUCCUGCUCAAAGCAGCCAGCAGGUUUUCGCCCCUGCCAGAUGUGAACCGAGGGAUCUAAGUGUUGUAUUUGUGAAAAUGUAACAUUCGUGAUCACAAGCAUGAGUUGGAUUGGUUUGAAAACAUACAUAUGCAUCUGUAAUCAAUCAAGUAGUACCAUAUCACAUAACGCUGUCAUAACUCAUUCAUGUAACGUAACUAAGGCUAAGACAAGAUAAGUGUGAAUCUCCAACGGCGUCAGUGAACUUGGUUAAUCUUGAAAAGAUUCAAAGGGGGGAUAUGUGGGGGAAAAUAACAGAUAUGUUUGGAUGUUUUGGGGGUUACCAUGAGGCAAGAAAACAGGAUAUGGGUGGAGUGGUCAGAUUGGGAUAAACUUCAUAUCAGGUCAUGGUGACCCUCUCUCAUGGUAGCUUAAUUGCAAUAACAGGAAAUCUGGCUCCAAAAGAUAGUGGCAGAGAAAGUCACGAAGGGGACUUUCGCACGCACAUUUGGCUAAAACUAAGGUCCCUGACGUCAAUGGAGGACUAUAAAAGAUAUGUGGAUUGGCUGUUUUUUGGUUCUGUCUGUUCGAUUGCUCAUGAGCUAUUGUUCGAUGCUGUGAUCGGAAUAAAAACCCCGCCGAGAGGCUGCCAGCU